Molecule: ribosomal RNA, 406 nt
Filed under: uncultured bacterium
Lineage: Bacteria
Description: partial 16S ribosomal RNA
Rfam family: Bacterial small subunit ribosomal RNA
Source: RNAcentral
AUUGCACGCUGGCGGCAGGCCUAACACAUGCAAGUAGAACGAGUGGCGGACGGGGGAGAAAUGUCUGGGAAACUGCCCGAUGGAGGGGGAUAACUACUGGAAAAGGUAGCUAAUACCGCAUACCAUCGGAUGUGCCCAGAUGGGAUUAGCUAGGAGGUGGGGUAACGGCUCACCUAGGCGACGAUCCCUAGAUGGUCUGAGAGGAUGACCAGCCACACUGGAACUGAGACACGGUCCAGACUCCUACGGGAGGCAGCAGUGGGGAAUAUUGCACAAUGGGCGCAAUCCUGAUGCAUCCAUGCCGCGUGUAUGAAUAAGGCCUUCGGGUUGUAAAGUACUUUCAGCGAGGAGGCGUUACUCGCAGAAGAAGCACCGGCUAACUCCGUGCCAGCAGCCGCGGUAAUUC